Molecule: ribosomal RNA, 387 nt
Filed under: Stutzerimonas stutzeri
Lineage: Bacteria; Pseudomonadati; Pseudomonadota; Gammaproteobacteria; Pseudomonadales; Pseudomonadaceae
Description: bacterial SSU rRNA
Rfam family: Bacterial small subunit ribosomal RNA
Source: RNAcentral
UUCAGCGGCGGACGGGUGAGUAAUGCCUAGGAAUCUGCCUGGUAGUGGGGGACAACGUUUCGAAAGGAACGCUAAUACCGCAUACGUCCUACGGGAGAAAGCGGGGGAUCUUCGGACCUUGCGCUAUCAGAUGAGCCUAGGUCGGAUUAGCUAGUUGGUGAGGUAAUGGCUCACCAAGGCGACGAUCCGUAACUGGUCUGAGAGGAUGAUCAGUCACACUGGAACUGAGACACGGUCCAGACUCCUACGGGAGGCAGCAGUGGGGAAUAUUGGACAAUGGGCGAAAGCCUGAUCCAGCCAUGCCGCGUGUGUGAAGAAGGUCUUCGGAUUGUAAAGCACUUUAAGUUGGGAGGAAGGGCAGUAAGCUAAUACCUUGCUGUUUUGACG